Molecule: non-coding RNA, 22 nt
Filed under: Arabidopsis thaliana (thale cress)
Lineage: Eukaryota; Viridiplantae; Streptophyta; Magnoliopsida; Brassicales; Brassicaceae
Source: RNAcentral
ACAAGCUAUCAAAAUCGGUGUC